This 231-nucleotide ribosomal RNA is filed under the name uncultured bacterium. RNAcentral describes it as "partial 16S ribosomal RNA". It matches the Rfam family "Bacterial small subunit ribosomal RNA", at positions 524 to 752 of the family's 1533-position model. The record is from RNAcentral.
UACAGAGGGUGCGAGCGUUAAUCGGAAUUACUGGGCGUAAAGCGUGCGUAGACGGUUAUUUAAGUCGGGUGUGAAAGCCCCGGGCUCAACCUGGGAAUUGCAUUCGAGACUGAAUAGCUAGGGUACGGUAGAGGGAAGUGGAAUUUCGGGUGUAGCGGUGAAAUGCGUAGAUAUCCGAAGGAACAUCAGUGGCGAAAAGCGGCUUCCUGGACCAGAACUGACGAAUCAGGC